GGAGGCUGUGUCCAGAGAUGGGCAUUUCCCGCAAGGGACCUCCUGCACAGGUGCUGCAUGGCUGUCGUCAGCUCGUGUCGUGAGAUGNUGGGUUAAGUCNCGCAACGAGCGCAACCCUCGCCUUUAGUUGCCANCAUGUUUGGGUGGGCACUCUAGAGGAACUGCCGGUGACAANCCGGAGGAAGGUGNGGANGACGUCAAGUCCUCAUGGCCCUUAUGUCCUGGGCUACACACGUGCUACAAUGGCGGUGACAGUGGGAAGCUAGACAGUGAUGUCAUGCUGAUCUCUAAAAACCGUCUCAGUUCGGAUUGUACUNUGCAACUCGAGUGCAUGAAGGUGGAAUCGCUAGUAAUCGCGGAUCAGCAUGCCGCGGUGAAUACGUUCCCGGGCCUUGUACACACCGCCCGUCACACCAUGGGAGUUGGUUCGACCUUAAGCUGGUGAGCGAACCGCAAGGACGCAGCCAACCACGGUCUGGUU
Molecule: ribosomal RNA, 481 nt
Filed under: Neoasaia chiangmaiensis
Lineage: Bacteria; Pseudomonadati; Pseudomonadota; Alphaproteobacteria; Acetobacterales; Acetobacteraceae
Description: bacterial SSU rRNA
Rfam family: Bacterial small subunit ribosomal RNA
Source: RNAcentral